Molecule: microRNA precursor, 64 nt
Filed under: Petromyzon marinus (sea lamprey)
Lineage: Eukaryota; Metazoa; Chordata; Hyperoartia; Petromyzontiformes; Petromyzontidae
Description: Pma-Mir-128-o1_pre stem-loop
Rfam family: mir-128 microRNA precursor family
Source: RNAcentral
UGGAGGCCGUCACACUGCCCGAGAGCAAUGAGCCUGGCUGUCUCACAGUGAACCGGUCUCUUUC